CCUACGGGAGGCAGCAGUGAGGAAUAUUGGUCAAUGGGCGCGAGCCUGAACCAGCCAAGUAGCGUGAAGGAUAACUGCCCUACGGGUUGUAAACUUCUUUUAUAAAGGAAUCAAGUGAGGCACGUGUGCCUUUUUGUAUGUACUUUAUGAAUAAGGAUCGGCUAACUCCGUGCCAGCAGCCGCGGUAAUACGGAGGAUCCGAGCGUUAUCCGGAUUUAGUGGGUUUAAAGGGAGCGUAAGUGGUUUGUUAAGUCAGUUGUGAAAGUUUGCGGCUCAAACGUAAAAUUGCAAUUGAUACUGGCAGUCUUGAGUACAGUUGAGGUAUGCGGAAUUCGUGGUGUAGCGGUGAAAGGCUUAGAGAUCACGAAGAACUCCGAUUGCGAAGGCAGCUUACUAAACUGCCACUGACAUUGAUGCUCGAAAGUGUGGGUAUCAAACAGGAUUAGAUACCCCUGUAGUC
This 460-nucleotide ribosomal RNA is filed under the name uncultured bacterium. RNAcentral's name for it is "partial 16S ribosomal RNA". It matches the Rfam family "Bacterial small subunit ribosomal RNA", at positions 338 to 795 of the family's 1533-position model. The record is from RNAcentral.